UUCCGAAACUCUAGGCUCAAUUUGGGUAAUUUCAGUAGUGUUGCUAGUGUCGUCAGGAAGUGCAAAAUUUACGUCGGCUUCCCAUGGAGCUCGAUUCUUUCCAGAAAGGUCGUCGGGAAGCCACGCAGCUUCCCAGGCGUCGUUCCAUUCGUCGUUGCCACUUUUGGUCGACAACCGCCGGCGGACGGCGGCGAAGAAGGUGGGGUUUAUGAGGGGUUCUUUGAGAAAGGUUGAUGAGAGUUUGCG
RNAcentral lists this unclassified non-coding RNA (246 nucleotides) under Hevea brasiliensis (rubber tree). Lineage: Eukaryota; Viridiplantae; Streptophyta; Magnoliopsida; Malpighiales; Euphorbiaceae. The record is from RNAcentral.